RNAcentral lists this ribosomal RNA (623 nucleotides) under uncultured bacterium. Its description in RNAcentral is "bacterial SSU rRNA". It matches the Rfam family "Bacterial small subunit ribosomal RNA", at positions 100 to 739 of the family's 1533-position model. The record is from RNAcentral.
GGACGGGUGAGUAACGCGUGAGGAACCUGCCUUGAAGAGGGGGACAACAGUUGGAAACGACUGCUAAUACCGCAUGAAGCAUAGGGGUCGCAUGAUUCUUAUGCCAAAGAUUUAUCGCUUCAAGAUGGCCUCGCGUCUGAUUAGCUAGUUGGCGGGGUAACGGCCCACCAAGGCGACGAUCAGUAGCCGGACUGAGAGGUUGAACGGCCACAUUGGGACUGAGAUACGGCCCAGACUCCUACGGGAGGCAGCAGUGGGGAAUAUUGGGCAAUAGGCGCAAGCCUGACCCAGCAACGCCGCGUGAAGGAAGAAGGCUUUCGGGUUGUAAACUUCUUUUAAGAGGGAAGGGCAGAAGACGGUACCUCUAGAAUAAGCCACGGCUAACUACGUGCCAGCAGCCGCGGUAAUACGUAGGUGGCAAGCGUUGUCCGGAUUUACUGGGUGUAAAGGGCGUGCAGCCGGGUCUGCAAGUCAGAUGUGAAAUCCAUGGGCUCAACCCAUGAACUGCAUUUGAAACUGUAGAUCUUGAGUGUCGGAGGGGCAAUCGGAAUUCCUAGUGUAGCGGUGAAAUGCGUAGAUAUUAGGAGGAACACCAGUGGCGAAGGCGGAUUGCUGGACGAUAA